RNAcentral lists this ribosomal RNA (495 nucleotides) under uncultured bacterium. Its description in RNAcentral is "partial 16S ribosomal RNA". It matches the Rfam family "Bacterial small subunit ribosomal RNA", at positions 28 to 507 of the family's 1533-position model. The record is from RNAcentral.
GACGAACGCUGGCGGCGUGCCUAAUACAUGCAAGUAGAACGCUGAAGGAGGAGCUUGCUCUUCUGGAUGAGUUGCGAACGGGUGAGUAACGCUUAGGUAACCUGCCUGGUAGCGGGGGAUAACUAUUGGAAACGAUAGCUAAUACCGCAUAACAGUAGAUGUUGCAUGACAUUUACUUAAAAGGUGCAAUUGCAUCACUACCAGAUGGACCUGCGUUGUAUUAGCUAGUUGGUGGGGUAACGGCUCACCAAGGCGACGAUACAUAGCCGACCUGAGAGGGUGAUAGGCAAAGCUGGGACUGGGACACGGCCCAGAAUACUAGGGGAGGGAGCAGGAGGGAAUCAUCGGCAAAGGAAGGAAGUCGGAACGAGCAACGCCGGGUGAGUGAAGAAGGUUGUCGGAUCGUAAAGGUCAGUUGUAAGAGAAGAACGAGAGGGAGAGUGGAAAGUUCACACUGUGACGGUAUCUUAACAGAAAGGGACGGCUAACUACGUG